Molecule: non-coding RNA, 54 nt
Organism: Larimichthys crocea (large yellow croaker)
Lineage: Eukaryota; Metazoa; Chordata; Actinopteri; Sciaenidae
Source: Rfam
GUUUCCCUUUUUUGUGAGUCGCUUUGGAUAAAAGCAUCAGCUAAAUGACUAAAU